This 93-nucleotide non-coding RNA is filed under the name pig gut metagenome. Its description in RNAcentral is "SAM riboswitch (S box leader)". It matches the Rfam family "SAM riboswitch aptamer (S box leader)". Rfam says of the family: The SAM riboswitch is found upstream of a number of genes which code for proteins involved in methionine or cysteine biosynthesis in Gram-positive bacteria. The SAM riboswitch acts at the level of transcription termination control. The record is from RNAcentral.
CUUAUGCAGAGUGGUGGAGGGACCGGCCCUGUGAAACCCGGCAACCUGCUUUAGUGCAAGGUGCUAAUUCCUGCGGAUUUUCCGAGAUAUAAG